RNAcentral lists this non-coding RNA (165 nucleotides) under Halobacillus mangrovi. RNAcentral describes it as "GlcN6P sequence". It matches the Rfam family "glmS glucosamine-6-phosphate activated ribozyme aptamer". From Rfam's summary of the family: This entry contains a glucosamine-6-phosphate activated ribozyme that is found in the mRNA for GlmS. GlmS is an enzyme that uses fructose-6-phosphate and glutamine to generate glucosamine-6-phosphate. The ribozyme catalyses self cleavage of the glmS mRNA that is thought to regulate GlmS activity. The record is from RNAcentral. Lineage: Bacteria; Bacillati; Bacillota; Bacilli; Caryophanales; Bacillaceae.
AUAGUAAUAAAAGCGCCAGGGCUGUGUUUGGUGAAAACACAGUUGACGAGGAGGAGGUUCAUCGAGCAUUCGGCGGAUGCCUCCCGGUUGCCACACUUCAACCGAAUGUUUAAAUGUUAAACCAAAGAGGCGACUCUUUGUCCAAAACAUUUAAACAAAGUGACU